Molecule: ribosomal RNA, 429 nt
Filed under: Gemmatimonadota bacterium
Lineage: Bacteria; Pseudomonadati; Gemmatimonadota
Description: Gemmatimonadetes bacterium partial 16S ribosomal RNA
Rfam family: Bacterial small subunit ribosomal RNA
Source: RNAcentral
UAGGGAAUCUUCGGCAAUGGACGAAAGUCUGACCGAGCAACGCCGCGUGAGUGAAGAAGGUUUUCGGAUCGUAAAACUCUGUUGUUAGAGAAGAACAAGGACGUUAGUAACUGAACGUCCCCUGACGGUAUCUAACCAGAAAGCCACGGCUAACUACGUGCCAGCAGCCGCGGUAAUACGUAGGUGGCAAGCGUUGUCCGGAUUUAUUGGGCGUAAAGCGAGCGCAGGCGGUUUCUUAAGUCUGAUGUGAAAGCCCCCGGCUCAACCGGGGAGGGUCAUUGGAAACUGGGAGUAUUGAGUGCAGAAGGGGAGAGUGGAAUUCCAGGUGUAGCGGUGACAUGCGUAGAUAUAUGGAGGAACACCAGUGGCGAAGGCGGCUCUAUGGUAUGUAACAGACAAUGCGGCUCGAAAGCGUGGGGAGCGAACAGG